RNAcentral lists this small RNA (441 nucleotides) under Pan troglodytes (chimpanzee). RNAcentral describes it as "processed transcript". The record is from RNAcentral. Lineage: Eukaryota; Metazoa; Chordata; Mammalia; Primates; Hominidae.
CUUAAGUAAAAAGGGAUUUAUUGGCUCCAAACCUGGAAGGGGCUGGGGUAUCACUAAAUCCAGUGACUCCGGUGAUGUAUUUGUGUAUCUCUCCCUUUCUGCAAAGGGCCAGUAACCCCUCAGUUCCCUAUCUACUUUGCGACUGUAAUUGCAAGCCUCAUUCUGUCCUGUUACAGUCGUGCGGCAAUUAGGCUGAAGGACUGGCGCGCCCGCUCCCCCGACUGUGAGCCUAGGCGGCGGGUGUCAUGCCCCUCCCCCCCCCCCCCCCCCCGGCGGAACAGAAUAUUGGGACAUGUUGGUGAUUCUUAGCUGUAUCUCACUAUUCCAUUGACAUUUCAACCAGUGUGACACAAAAUGUCAGUUAUGUAUGUGAAUGAGAAGUAAGAUCUUUUGAACUUAAUGAAUUCAGCAAGACGCUUCCAGUUACUUCCUGCUCUUAAA